Long non-coding RNA from Rosa rugosa (rugosa rose), 690 nucleotides. RefSeq lists it as uncharacterized. The record is from RefSeq and is a predicted model, not a curated record. The transcript has 3 exons. NCBI's taxonomy places the organism in Eukaryota, Viridiplantae, Streptophyta, Magnoliopsida, Rosales, Rosaceae.
AACUUGCUACCUGGUGGGCUGGUGGCCAUGGGAUCAAGCAAAGUUGCUGGAGAACGUGAUGCUGCUAAGACUAUUGAAACUGAGCUAUUCCUGCUCUUCAGAAACUUCAGAAGAAGAAAGGAAGAGAACUAAAAAGGAAACGAAGGCAAGAGAGGCAGCAGAAUCUUUUAACAAAUUUUUAUGGUGCUGGAAUUACACGUUCCUGUCACAGCAUAGGCUUGUCAAUUAUACAUUUGGUAUGGUGCAAAUAUUUUUUGGUUCACUUCUGAGUUGAAUUUUAAUAAUCUCCUUAUAAACCUGUAGUCAUUGUGGCAGUAUGAUAAAAUGAAACACUGCCCAUGUCUGAGAAGUUUAAGGUCUAUAUCGCUAUAAUGAAUGAUCCAUAGACGGAUAGACCAUACGUGGUAAGUUGCAAUUUAUGUGGAAAAUAGUAAUUGGAUUACUCGACUACCUUAACUGCUAUCCUUUUCAAUAUGAUGGCCUGGGAAAUUAGAGAUGUUUGAGUACAAACUUUGGAAGUUUGAAUAACUGAUGACAAUUGAUUCCUUAAUUUGUUAUGGAUGCAUACUGGUAUCACAAUAGUUACCUAAUCCUUAUUUUCUUGUUUUUUUUUUUUAUCCUUGCAUUCAAAUAUUUUUGAUUUGGAUAAUAUGCAGAUGAUUAUGACCGGGUCAUUCAUGAGGCUAUAAA